Onychostoma macrolepis is the source of this 1571-nucleotide long non-coding RNA. RefSeq lists it as uncharacterized. Lineage: Eukaryota; Metazoa; Chordata; Actinopteri; Cypriniformes; Cyprinidae. The record is from RefSeq and is a predicted model, not a curated record. The transcript has 4 exons.
CAGCCAGGCUCCUCCUGGUAACUAAAAUCGGGCUACUUCCACCUCCCUUGUGUCACUCUUGCUCUCCCUUUUUUAUAUAAAUAAAAUGACCUAAUAUAGUGGAUAAUCUCAGGACUAUUUUGUAGGACUUCAUUCCUUAGUGGAAGCUUUAAGGACGCCCCUCAUUGAGACUCAUCCAGAGGAAUGUGCACCCUAAGGAAUAAUUUGUGAAGGUUCAAAUGGGUACGUUCAACUUCGGCUCUCCGAGAGCUGAAAAAUGCAGCAUACGGAGGAUAAAACCAUCUCUCACUUCGGCCAAUAUGGAUCAACGAUUUUGAUGACAUCACCCUGCAGUUCAGCUUCUCAUCAAACUUUCUGUCCAAUCAAAUGCUCUCUAGAAUCCAAAGUGUCCCGCCCCCGAAUUGAAUUCUAGACUGAAUUGUAUAUUUUAUAGCAAUAUAGAUGAGAUUGUGGCUGUCAUACCCUGUCAAAUGCAGCUCAAUGGCUCUAGUCCAGUGAUAUAAACGAACAGUAUUGCUGAUUUAAAAAGAAGCGUGACUACCUGAUAUGUCCCGCCCUGUCUUCCUGUUUCAGUUAAAAUGAUGUCUACACAUAGAAUAACAGUGCGUGUUUCAAAGCACUUCAGUGGACCUUUAAUGCCAAAUUACACCAAUAACAAUAACUAUGUAGCAUCCACACCAGUGCAUGAUAAAGUUCUGUUUAGACAACAAACUGAUUGAAUUCACGUUGUCUGGGCAAAAAAACCCCACAAUAUUAUAUUAAAUUGUGUUCUAUGGAAGAAAGAAACUCAUGCAGGUUUGUAAUGACAUGACAGUAAGACUAACAUGGCAUAAUUUUCAUUUCCAAGUGAACUAUCCCUUUAAAAGGAACACAUUAGUGUUUUGUGUCAAUGAAGGGGUGCUUGAGCCCUACUGGUGUGGCUGCGGGGGGUAUGUAAGACAAAAAACAUUGGGGAACACUGAUUUAAAGGGUAAGAGCAGUUCACAAACGAUGAGAUUUUGCUAUGUUUGGAUUCUUAGUGUGAUCACAAUCACCCACCAUACACACACUCAACCAGACAGUCACACAGUGGCAUCAGCUGGGUCCAACUAUAAUCACCUCUCAAAUCUGAAGGGAGAGUUUUACGAACACUGCCAUGAUCGAUAUUUGCCAAUCCGUCCUCCACUAUCAGCCCAAAUAAAAGGCACGGGCGUCAGACGGGGCUGGCGAAGCAGGUCGUAGGGAGGUCCUCUAUGCCUGUUUGAUGUUUGUGCAGCGCUCAUCAGUGUGUUGAGGCUGGUUCACCUCUGCUGUUGUGGAAUCAGCAGGUCAUCGCGGUCUCAACCCCGCGCGGUGCACCGCUGAUUGCCUAGCAGUUGCUGCGAGAUUGCUUUUCCAUGGUUAGGGGAUGUGCGUCCUGGCAGUAAGCUGGGCUCUGUUUUAAUAGGGCCUCAACUCCAAACUCAAAGGUCGCUGUACUCCUUGCUGCUCGCGCAGGAUUGUUUAUGGACUUAGUUCACUGCAGUUUUCUGCCCAUUAGCAGUGCAAUGUGUAGCAUGCCUGUUUCUGUAGUCUCAAGGAAGAUGUGUUUC